RNAcentral lists this unclassified non-coding RNA (1412 nucleotides) under Leishmania donovani. Its description in RNAcentral is "gene:LdHU3.20.1130(CDS-product:hypothetical_prote in_conserved)". Lineage: Eukaryota; Euglenozoa; Kinetoplastea; Trypanosomatida; Trypanosomatidae. The record is from RNAcentral.
GAACGCGCCCUCCGACGGGCGUGGGCAGGGUUUGCUCGCUGAACCCCCAACAGCGCGCGCAGCAACACGCAAGAGCAACGGGCUUCACGGCACGCAGGCACGCCGAUGCCGCCGUCUGGAAAGGUGGGCUCAUCAGCAGCGCAGCAGGUGGUCGACAUGGACCCGCUUCUCGUGUACUUCACCUUCUCCCGCAUCCGGCCUCGCUUCUCUUGCGGGCGCACAAUCGAGAGCACGCUGAAGCAAUUUCGUGACGGCGAGCUGCACCCGCGCGACCUCCCCCUCCUCUCCGUGCUGACAGAUGGCGCACACUACUACAGUCAAAACAACCGACGGCUGUACGUGUACAAGCAGCUGAAGCGCGAAGGCUUGCUCGACAUGCUGCCGGUGCGGCUGCGCCCUCUGCCGCAGACGAAGCGGAUGCGUAGCAAGUACUCACCGCAGACCUGCGCUCUGAAUGCAACGCUUAUGCGAGACACAGCGAACAGGGAUGGCCUCAGAGACGCGAGUGCGACAGCGGCGGACAGCAGCGACGCGUCCGAUAUCGAGGGUAGUCACGACGACCAUGACGCCUGCACGUCCUUGGCUGCGGUUGGGGAGCCCGGCGCGGGUGACGACGAGUUCCGCCGCGGCAACCGCUCAGCUCCCUCGUCCAGCUCUCCGCCACGCCCGGCAUCCUGUGCGACGGGCUCCGGCCUUGAAAGGGAGGCGGUGGGGAGCGGAGACACACGCAAAGCCCCGACAAGGAGGAAUCAGAAGAAGCAGCCGCAGCCGCAGCACGGCCUCGCUCUGUCACAGCAGUCGUCGAACGCCAACUGCAGCGAAACGGCGUCACAGCGUCCAGGAAAAAGCAAGGGUGCCGCCGCAGCUCGAUCGCCGAGUACCAGUAGCAGCGACGGCGGUGGUAACGGUGGCACGAGUGCCUUGGAAGCAGAGCUGCGCAAACUUGGCCUGCACACGUAAUCAAGUGGGCCCGUCUUCCUUCCCCGCCCCUUUUCAUCCACCCCUCUCUCUCAUGCGAGCGUGAAUGUAUGGGUUGUUGUUCUGUGGAUUACCGCCGCAGUUACGUGGCGCUGUUCUUGUCUUUUGGCUUUUCCCUUGUUUUCAUCUGCGCUCGCACAUGGCACACCUUUCACACGUCAACAGAUAACAGGGGGCUCUCGCUGUCCUUCUCCUUUUCGGGUCUUCGUUGGAAAACGGACGUGGAGAGGCGCAGAAAGGCCGCGCAGCUUGCUACAUCCGCAAAGGCGGUGCGGAACUUCCUGUGAGGCGGAGCUAACAUCUUCGUGUUGACCUUCUAGUUGACACUGCUCGACGAGUGGGCGUGAGAGAGGGGGGAAAGAGGGGGCAUCGCUCCAUCGAGCUCAACCGUCACGCACGUGAGUCGGCGUUGUCUUGAGGUGAGGAGUACGGAC